This 498-nucleotide ribosomal RNA is filed under the name uncultured bacterium. RNAcentral describes it as "partial 16S ribosomal RNA". It matches the Rfam family "Bacterial small subunit ribosomal RNA", at positions 30 to 523 of the family's 1533-position model. The record is from RNAcentral.
AUUGAACGCUGGCGGCAUGCCUUACACAUGCAAGUCGAACGGUAACAGGUCUUCGGAUGCUGACGAGUGGCGAACGGGUGAGUAAUACAUCGGAACGUGCCUAGUAGUGGGGGAUAACUACUCGAAAGAGUGGCUAAUACCGCAUGAGAUCUACGGAUGAAAGCAGGGGAUCGCAAGACCUUGUGCUACUAGAGCGGCCGAUGGCAGAUUAGGUAGUGGGUGGGAUAAAAGCUUACCAAGCCGACGAUCUGUAGCUGGUCUGAGAGGACGAUCAGCCACACUGGGACUGAGACACGGCCCAGACUCCUACGGGAGCCAGCAGUGGGGAAUUUUGGACAAUGGGCGCAAGCCUGAUCCAGCAAUGCCGCGUGCAGGAUGAAGGCCUUCGGGUUGUAAACUGCUUUUGUACGGAACGAAAAGCCCUGGGUUAAUACCCUGGGGUCAUGACGGUACCGUAAGAAUAAGCACCGGCUAACUACGUGCCAGCCGCCGCCGUAA